AAAGUUUGCGGGUUCCCAGGUAUGCUUAGCUCAAUAGAUUGCAUGUAUUGGAGUUGGAAGAACUGUCCUAAGGCAUGGCAUGGCCAAUUCCACGGCCAAAAAAGGGAUUCCACUAUAAUCCUUGAAGCAGUGGUCGAUCAAGAGACUUGGAUUUGGCAUGUUUUUUUUGGAAUGCCUGGAUCUUUGAAUGAUAUCAAUGUUGUUAAUCGGUCACCACUCAUGAAUAAGAUUACAAAUGGUGAACUGUCAUCGGUGCAGUUUGUAGCAAAUGGCCAUACAUACAACUAUGGCUACUAUCUUGCGGAUGGCAUCUACCCAAAGUGGCAAACAUUUGUG
Molecule: ribosomal RNA, 336 nt
Filed under: Triticum aestivum (bread wheat)
Lineage: Eukaryota; Viridiplantae; Streptophyta; Magnoliopsida; Poales; Poaceae
Description: partial small subunit ribosomal RNA
Source: RNAcentral